This 957-nucleotide long non-coding RNA is filed under the name Oryza sativa Indica Group (long-grained rice). Its description in RNAcentral is "lncRNA OsKYG_01g0022590". Lineage: Eukaryota; Viridiplantae; Streptophyta; Magnoliopsida; Poales; Poaceae. The record is from RNAcentral.
AUGAAGACCCCAAGACUGCAGUACUAUACUUCAUCAAUGGUGGAUGAUGUUUUUACUCGUCUUGGUGAAGACAUCAAGGUAAAACCUUGGGCACACACAGUGUAUGGAAAAAAUGGCAUCCCAGAUGUUCAACUUGACAAGAUUGACUAUUCAUUCAUUCCAGAUCUUAAGAAGAAGCACAAGCAUAAGGCGCCCAAUGCAAAGAGGUACAAGAUUGGGAAGCUCGGCAAGAAGGAGAAGUGCCCCUUCGAGGAACAAAAUGACUCAUUUGUGCGUGUUCCUAACAUGAGAAAUAUGCUUGCUUCUCAUUUGGAUGACCUGGACCUUCCAACUGAUAUGGCUAUCAAAGUCGACCACAUUAUAGAAAAAUAUCAGUUGUCGUGGAGAAAUGCUGUUGAAGACAUAACCUCGAAAGAAAUGAGGCAUUGUGCCCAAGAAUUGGAGGAAUUAUUUGGACUUGAAGCCCGUAAUACUAUAAACAAAGAUGAAAGCAGCAAAAGGGUGGUAGUGGAUUUAGGCACAUUUAAGUUUACUGAAGAUGCAUUUGUAGAUGUAUUCCAACCACAUGGUUGGAUGAGUAAUUGGGUAGUCCAGGCCCUGGCUAUAAUAGCUGAAUACCGCAAGUUGCUUGCAUCAGAAAUCUGGUUUCACAAGGAUAACCUCGCCAUGGUUGAUCUUACUGAGACUGAUAGUGAGAAAUCUGAUGAAGAACGCGAUACAGGCACAAGAACCUAUAUUGAGACUGAUGGACGUGCCAAUGGUGAAGAAUCAGCUGGAGACAGUGAUCGAAAAGGCGAUGCUAGCAUUAAGGAAGAAUCAGAUGCAACAGCCUCUGAUAGCGAUGCAAGAAAGAGGAAACAUUCUGAGACUGAAUCUGAAAUAGAUGGAAGAGCCAAUGCUCGUGCUCCCAGAACGGCCUCUGCUUCAAGAGAUUCUAUCCCUAAGAAGACUAGAAUU